This 31-nucleotide ribosomal RNA is filed under the name Diutina mesorugosa. RNAcentral describes it as "partial 18S ribosomal RNA". The record is from RNAcentral. Lineage: Eukaryota; Fungi; Ascomycota; Pichiomycetes; Serinales; Debaryomycetaceae.
UCCGUAGGUGAACCUGCGGAAAGGAUCAUUA